GCUCACUUCCUCGCUUCCAACGCCGCCCUUGCCCUCCAAUUGAACGCCCAUUCCUCCACCCGAGAACAGGCCCAGUUGAGAGAGGUGACAUUGCAGGAGGAAAAUGCUGCAUAUGAAAAGGCUAUAUCAAACUGUGAAAGUAAAAUACAGGAGAAGAUUGAGGAAGCGGAGUUACUUAGGAGGAAGUUAGAGGAAUUGGAGGACACUGAAAAGAAUUUGAGAGAUGAGCUGGAAUGCACAAACAGCAUUGGAUACCAGUCGAUCUCGCGGAUCAGAUGAAGCUGUUGGCAACUCCAAAACAUCAGUUGAAACUGGAGAUGACAUGGAAUCAUCAAAGAAAGCUAUACUAGACAAGUUAGAGGAGAGGAAAAGAGAAUUGGUUCAUUGCUCUUUCUUUUGAUCUUAAAAUUUUCUCACAUCUUGUUCUUUUUUCAGAGUGCGUGUGCACCUGUGUUAUCUUAUUUUG
Rosa rugosa (rugosa rose) is the source of this 466-nucleotide long non-coding RNA. RefSeq lists it as uncharacterized. NCBI's taxonomy places the organism in Eukaryota, Viridiplantae, Streptophyta, Magnoliopsida, Rosales, Rosaceae. The transcript has 3 exons. The record is from RefSeq and is a predicted model, not a curated record.